CAAUAGCGUAUAUUAAAGUUGUUGCGGUUAAAAGCUCGUAGUUGGAUUUCUGUCGGAGACGCGCGGUCCGCACUAUGUGCGUGUAUCUGUGUCGGCUCUGGCAUCCUCCUGGGGAACGGUGCUGCGCUUGAUUGCGUGGUCCGGUAUUCAGGACUUUUACUUUGAGGAAAUGAGAGUGUUUCAAGCAGGCUUGCGCCGUGAAUACGUUAGCAUGGAAUAAUAGCAUCGGACCUCGCUCCAAAGCUGUUGGUUUCUUGGGGCGAGGUAAAGGUGAAUAGGGAUUGUUGGGGGCAUUCGUAUUUAACUGUCAGAGGUGAAAUUCUUGGAUUUGUUGAAGACGGACUACUGCGAAAGCAUCUGCCAAAGAUGUUCUCAUUGAUCAAGAACGAAAGUUAGGUGAUCGAAGAUGAUUAGAUACCAU
This 421-nucleotide ribosomal RNA is filed under the name uncultured eukaryote. RNAcentral describes it as "bacterial SSU rRNA". It matches the Rfam family "Eukaryotic small subunit ribosomal RNA", at positions 592 to 1018 of the family's 1831-position model. The record is from RNAcentral.